ACUCAUUCACACAAUGUGCAGUUGAAAGAAAGGAUGAAUAAGGAAAAGCCCAUGCCUUUGAUGGUCUCCGAGACUUUCUGAAAUGGUCUUACUUUGAAUUGGGCUUGGGCUUCUGGAAAUGAACAGACUUUCCAAAAUGGUUGUCAAAAAGUUUGGUCUUGAAAGUCACAUCUGUAGCCUGAUGAAACAUACAUUCUUCUUCGAGGAUGGAAAAGAUGCCCAUUGGCUGCUUGGAGAUACAGAUGAACAGUAGAUGAAAAAACAAACCAAAAAAAGAUACUAAUAAACAGUAUUUUCACUAGGG
Non-coding RNA from Odocoileus virginianus texanus, 304 nucleotides. NCBI's taxonomy places the organism in Eukaryota, Metazoa, Chordata, Mammalia, Artiodactyla, Cervidae. The record is from RefSeq and is a predicted model, not a curated record.